This 465-nucleotide ribosomal RNA is filed under the name Vreelandella stevensii. RNAcentral describes it as "partial 16S ribosomal RNA". It matches the Rfam family "Bacterial small subunit ribosomal RNA", at positions 338 to 795 of the family's 1533-position model. The record is from RNAcentral. Lineage: Bacteria; Pseudomonadati; Pseudomonadota; Gammaproteobacteria; Oceanospirillales; Halomonadaceae.
CCUACGGGGCGCAGCAGUGGGGAAUAUUGGACAAUGGGCGAAAGCCUGAUCCAGCCAUGCCGCGUGUGUGAAGAAGGCCUUCGGGUUGUAAAGCACUUUCAGUGGGGAAGAAAGCCUUGGGGCUAAUACCCUCGAGGAAGGACAUCACCCACAGAAGAAGCACCGGCUAACUCCGUGCCAGCAGCCGCGGUAAUACGGAGGGUGCGAGCGUUAAUCGGAAUUACUGGGCGUACAGCGCGCGUAGGCGGUCUGAUAAGCCGGUUGUGAAAGCCCCGGGCUCAACCUGGGAACGGCAUCCGGAACUGUCAGGCUAGAGUGCAGGAGAGGAAGGUAGAAUUCCCGGUGUAGCGGUGAAAUGCGUAGAGAUCGGGAGGAAUACCAGUGGCGAAGGCGGCCUUCUGGACUGACACUGACGCUGAGGUGCGAAAGCGUGGGUAGCAAACAGGAUUAGAUACCCCGGUAGUC